CUAGGAUUGUGCAGCAGGUUCGGCCAAAAAAGACCCAGUGGCAAGAAAAUUACAGCACGGGAAGAGAAAACGAGUCGCAAGAAGAGAGAGAACGGAAAGAGAGAUUUUCUUUUUCAUCACAUCCGAACGAAUUAAAUAUCAAAAUAAUAACAAUGCACCAUACUAAACAUAAAAGGUAUCAACCAAAGCAAUUGCAAUAGAAAUUGACAUGUAUUGAAUGAAGGGGUCUCAAUGAGUCUAAUGCAAACGGAAACAGAUAGCAAAUGAUCCAAACACAAAGGGUAGUUCCUUCAACAAAAACUUAAUUUUAAUCCCAUAACAAACUACAGCUAAUGAAUAACCAUGUUUGAGACAACAAUUUUAAUAAAAAAACACCACUACCAUAUUUCAAUGUUAGGAUUUUUGGAACCUUGCACGAGCACCAUGACCACCAAACUUCUUGGGCUCACAGCGUCUGGGAUCUACCACAAGCAGGGUGCUAUAGUACCUCAUGAGAAUGUCCUUCAUCUCCUUCUUGGAUUGCUUAUCCAAGUAUUUUUGGUAGAAAGCGAUGAGGGCUUCGCGAUGGACCUAUCGAUAGCAUAUAUUUGGGAGGUGUGACCACCACUCUUAACACGAAUCCUCAUAUCCACUUCGAAAAACCAGUGGCGACCGAGGAGAAGAAUGGGUUCAAAUGCCUUGUAGCGCAGAAUUUCCCGUUGGACCAACUCGAUGAAGACGUCGUUGAUCUUGAUCAAUCCGCGGCCACGCUUGCAGUGGGAAACUGCGACGACGGUUUUUUUCUAUUCGAACGAAGCAUUGGUUAAGGUUGGCUUCUAUCUCUGGUGAAGAAAAACCCUAAUCCUAGUGCAACUUUGACGAACGAAAGGAGAGAUUAGGGUUAAUGGAGUGUUUUCAUUUGGAGAGAGUACGGAGAAAGAUAUUUUGUAUAGAUGCCAUAAGACCAAUACAUCCUUCCAUGAAUCAUUGUAACGAUUACUUUGUCAGUAAGAGAAAAGGGAUU
This 1003-nucleotide long non-coding RNA is filed under the name Olea europaea subsp. europaea. Lineage: Eukaryota; Viridiplantae; Streptophyta; Magnoliopsida; Lamiales; Oleaceae. The record is from RNAcentral.